Molecule: non-coding RNA, 179 nt
Organism: Jatropha curcas
Lineage: Eukaryota; Viridiplantae; Streptophyta; Magnoliopsida; Malpighiales; Euphorbiaceae
Source: RefSeq, a predicted model, not a curated record
AUAGAAAAGGUUCUUUCCCUGUUGUCAUGGUUGGCGGUGUCCUUGAAGCAAAUAAGAACUGGGAUAUUGGAAAAGAAGUCCUGAAGUGCAUCCAGGAUCAAUUUCCUGGGGCUUUUCCGGUCAGACCACAGGUUGAACCAGCUGUUGGGGCAGCAUUGCUGGCUUUGAAUUACAUGAAA